UAAACUAGGAUUAGAUACCCUAUUAUUUUAAAUGUAAAUUUUAAAUACUGAAUUAGUAUUAGCUAUGUUCUUGAAAAUUAAAAAAUUUGGCGGUAUUUUAGUCUUUUCAGAGGAACCUGUCCUGUAAUCGAUAGUCCACGAUAUAGGGUACUUUAUUUAUUAGUUUACAUAUCGUCGUAGUUAGAAUAUUUUAAAAGAAUAUUAAUAUUCUAGAUUUUUAAUUAAAAAAUAAAUCAGAUCAAGGUGUAGUUUAUAAUAAAGGAGAGAUGGGUUACAUUAAAUUUAUUUAAGGAUAAUUUUUAGGAUAAAAAUUUGAAUAUGGAUUUGAAAGUAAUUUUAUUAAGUUUAAUAAGAUGAUUUUAGCUCUAAAAUAUGCACACAUCGCCCGUCGCUCUUAA
This 398-nucleotide ribosomal RNA is filed under the name Spermophagus sp. 8 GJK-2015. RNAcentral's name for it is "partial 12S ribosomal RNA". The record is from RNAcentral. Lineage: Eukaryota; Metazoa; Arthropoda; Insecta; Coleoptera; Chrysomelidae.